This 252-nucleotide ribosomal RNA is filed under the name Clostridioides difficile. Its description in RNAcentral is "partial 16S ribosomal RNA". It matches the Rfam family "Bacterial small subunit ribosomal RNA", at positions 197 to 451 of the family's 1533-position model. Lineage: Bacteria; Bacillati; Bacillota; Clostridia; Peptostreptococcales; Peptostreptococcaceae. The record is from RNAcentral.
AAUAUCAAAGGUGAGCCAGUACAGGAUGGACCCGCGUCUGAUUAGCUAGUUGGUAAGGUAACGGCUUACCAAGGCGACGAUCAGUAGCCGACCUGAGAGGGUGAUCGGCCACAUUGGAACUGAGCCACGGUCCAAACUCCUACGGGAGGCAGCAGUGGGGAAUAUUGCACAAUGGGCGAAAGCCUGAUGCAGCAACGCCGCGUGAGUGAUGAAGGCCUUCGGGUCGUAAAACUCUGUCCUCAAGGAAGAUAA